AGAGUUUGAUCCUGGCUCAGAUUGAACGCUGGCGGCAGGCUUAACACAUGCAAGUCGAACGAUGAAAUCUAGCUUGCUAGAUGGAUUAGUGGCGAACGGGUGAGUAAUGCUUAGGAAUCUGCCUAUUAGUGGGGGAUAACCAUCCGAAAGGAUGGCUAAUACCGCAUACGUCUUACGAGAGAAAGGGGGCUUUUAGCUCUCGCUAAUAGAUGAGCCUAAGUCGGAUUAGCUAGUUGGUGGGGUAAAGGCCUACCAAGGCGACGAUCUGUAGCUGGUCUGAGAGGAUGAUCAGCCACACUGGGACUGAGACACGGCCCAGACUCCUACGGGAGGCAGCAGUGGGGAAUAUUGGACAAUGGGCGAAAGCCUGAUCCAGCCAUGCCGCGUGUGUGAAGAAGGCCUUUUGGUUGUAAAGCACUUUAAGUGGGGAGGAAAAGCUUGUGGUUAAUACCCAUUAGCCCUGACGUUACCCACAGAAUAAGCACCGGCUAACUCUGUGCCAGCAGCCGCGGUAAUACAGAGGGUGCAAGCGUUAAUCGGAAUUACUGGGCGUAAAGCGAGCGUAGGUGGUUACUUAAGUCAGAUGUGAAAGCCCCGGGCUUAACCUGGGAAUUGCAUCUGAUACUGGGUGACUAGAGUAGGUGAGAGGGAAGUAGAAUUCCAGGUGUAGCGGUGAAAUGCGUAGAGAUCUGGAGGAAUACCGAUGGCGAAGGCAGCUUCCUGGCAUCAUACUGACACUGAGGUUCGAAAGCGUGGGUAGCAAACAGGAUUAGAUACCCUGGUAGUCCACGCCGUAAACGAUGUCUACCAGUCGUUGGGUCUCUUGAAGACUUAGUGACGCAGUUAACGCAAUAAGUAGACCGCCUGGGGAGUACGGCCGCAAGGUUAAAACUCAAAGGAAUUGACG
Molecule: ribosomal RNA, 907 nt
Filed under: uncultured bacterium
Lineage: Bacteria
Description: bacterial SSU rRNA
Rfam family: Bacterial small subunit ribosomal RNA
Source: RNAcentral